This 253-nucleotide ribosomal RNA is filed under the name uncultured bacterium. RNAcentral describes it as "partial 16S ribosomal RNA". It matches the Rfam family "Bacterial small subunit ribosomal RNA", at positions 524 to 776 of the family's 1533-position model. The record is from RNAcentral.
UACGGAGGUUGCAAGCGUUAUCCGGAUUCACUGGGUUUAAAGGGUGCGUAGGCGGGUAGGUAAGUCAGAGGUGAAAUCCUGGAGCUUAACUCCAGAACUGCCUUUGAUACUAUCUAUCUUGAAUAUGGUGGAGGUAAGCGGAAUAUGUCAUGUAGCGGUGAAAUGCAUAGAUAUGACAUAGAACACCUAUUGCGAAGGCAGCUUACUACGCCUAUAUUGACGCUGAGGCACGAAAGCGUGGGGAUCAAACAGG